This 917-nucleotide ribosomal RNA is filed under the name uncultured bacterium. RNAcentral describes it as "bacterial SSU rRNA". It matches the Rfam family "Bacterial small subunit ribosomal RNA", at positions 8 to 891 of the family's 1533-position model. The record is from RNAcentral.
AGAGUUUGAUCCUGGCUCAGGAUGAACGCUGGCGGCGUGCCUAAUACAUGCAAGUCGAACGAAACUUCUUUAUCACCGAGUGCUUGCACUCACCGAUAAAGAGUUGAGUGGCGAACGGGUGAGUAACACGUGGGCAACCUGCCCAAAAGAGGGGGAUAACACUUGGAAACAGGUGCUAAUACCGCAUAACCAUAGUUACCGCAUGGUAACUAUGUAAAAGGUGGCUAUGCUACCGCUUUUGGAUGGGCCCGCGGCGCAUUAGCUAGUUGGUGGGGUAAAGGCUUACCAAGGCAAUGAUGCGUAGCCGAACUGAGAGGUUGAUCGGCCACAUUGGGACUGAGACACGGCCCAAACUCCUACGGGAGGCAGCAGUAGGGAAUCUUCCACAAUGGGCGAAAGCCUGAUGGAGCAACGCCGCGUGGGUGAAGAAGGUCUUCGGAUCGUAAAACCCUGUUGUUAGAGAAGAAAGUGCGUGAGAGUAACUGUUCACGUUUCGACGGUAUCUAACCAGAAAGCCACGGCUAACUACGUGCCAGCAGCCGCGGUAAUACGUAGGUGGCAAGCGUUAUCCGGAUUUAUUGGGCGUAAAGGGAACGCAGGCGGUCUUUUAAGUCUGAUGUGAAAGCCUUCGGCUUAACCGGAGUAGUGCAUUGGAAACUGGGAGACUUGAGUGCAGAAGAGGAGAGUGGAACUCCAUGUGUAGCGGUGAAAUGCGUAGAUAUAUGGAAGAACACCAGUGGCGAAAGCGGCUCUCUGGUCUGUAACUGACGCUGAGGUUCGAAAGCGUGGGUAGCAAACAGGAUUAGAUACCCUGGUAGUCCACGCCGUAAACGAUGAAUGCUAAGUGUUGGAGGGUUUCCGCCCUUCAGUGCUGCAGCUAACGCAAUAAGCAUUCCGCCUGGGGAGUACGACCGCAA